RNAcentral lists this ribosomal RNA (404 nucleotides) under Pseudomonas sp. RNAcentral describes it as "partial 16S ribosomal RNA". It matches the Rfam family "Bacterial small subunit ribosomal RNA", at positions 355 to 776 of the family's 1533-position model. RNAcentral also lists the same sequence under 2 other names. The record is from RNAcentral. Lineage: Bacteria; Pseudomonadati; Pseudomonadota; Gammaproteobacteria; Pseudomonadales; Pseudomonadaceae.
UGGGGAAUAUUGGACAAUGGGCGCAAGCCUGAUCCAGCCAUGCCGCGUGAGUGAUGAAGGCCCUAGGGUUGUAAAGCUCUUUCACCGGUGAAGAUAAUGACGGUAACCGGAGAAGAAGCCCCGGCUAACUUCGUGCCAGCAGCCGCGGUAAUACGAAGGGGGCUAGCGUUGUUCGGAUUUACUGGGCGUAAAGCGCACGUAGGCGGACUUUUAAGUCAGGGGUGAAAUCCCGGGGCUCAACCCUGGAACUGCCUUUGAUACUGGAAGUCUUGAGUAUGGUAGAGGUGAGUGGAAUUCCGAGUGUAGAGGUGAAAUUCGUAGAUAUUCGGAGGAACACCAGUGGCGAAGGCGGCUCACUGGACCAUUACUGACGCUGAGGUGCGAAAGCGUGGGGAGCAAACAGG